This 490-nucleotide ribosomal RNA is filed under the name uncultured bacterium. RNAcentral's name for it is "partial 16S ribosomal RNA". It matches the Rfam family "Bacterial small subunit ribosomal RNA", at positions 29 to 507 of the family's 1533-position model. The record is from RNAcentral.
AGUGAACGCUGGCGGUAGGCCUAACACAUGCAAGUCGAACGGCAGCACAGGAUCGCUUGCUCUCUAGGUGGCGAGUGGCGGAUGGGUGAGGAAUACAUCGGAAUCUGCCCAGUAGUGGGGGUUAACGGAGGGAAACUUACGCUAAUACAGCAUACGACCUACGGGUGGAAGAGGGGGAUCGCAAGCCCUCUCGCGAUUGGAUGAGCCGAUGUCAGAUUAGCUAGAUAGAGGGGUAAUGGCCCAACAAGCCGACGAUCCGUAGCUGGUAUGAGAGGAUGAACAGCCACACUGGGACUGAGACACGGCCCAGACUCCUACGGGAGGCAGCAGUGGGGAAUUUUGGACAAUGGGCGCAAGCCUGAUCCAGCGAUGCCGCGUGCAGGAUGAAGGCCUUCGGGUUGUAAACUGCUUUUGUACGGAACGAAAAGCCUUCUACUAAUACAGGAGGGUCAUGACGGUACCGUAAGAAUAAGCACCGGCUAACUACGUG